AGCGUGGGAGCAAACAGGAUUAAUACCCUGGUAGUCCACGCCCUAAACGAUGCGAACUGGAUGUUGGUCUCAACUCGGAGAUCAGUGUCGAAGCUAACGCGUUAAGUUCGCCGCCUGGGGAGUACGGUCGCAAGACUGAAACUCAAAGGAAUUGACGGGGGCCCGCACAAGCGGUGGAGUAUGUGGUUUAAUUCGAUGCAACGCGAAGAACCUUACCUGGCCUUGACAUGUCUGGAAUCCUGCAGAGAUGCGGGAGUGCCUUCGGGAAUCAGAACACAGGUGCUGCAUGGCUGUCGUCAGCUCGUGUCGUGAGAUGUUGGGUUAAGUCCCGCAACGAGCGCAACCCUUGUCCUUAGUUGCCAGCGAGUAAUGUCGGGAACUCUAAGGAGACUGCCGGUGACAAACCGGAGGAAGGUGGGGAUGACGUCAAGUCCUCAUGGCCCUUACGGCCAGGGCUACACACGUACUACAAUGGUCGGUACAGAGGGUUGCAAUACCGCGAGGUGGAGCCAAUCCCAGAAAGCCGAUCCCAGUCCGGAUCGAAGUCUGCAACUCGACUUCGUGAAGUCGGAAUCGCUAGUAAUCGCGGAUCAGCUAUGCCGCGGUGAAUACGUUCCCGGGCCUUGUACACACCGCCCGUCACACCAUGGGAGUGAGUUGCUCC
RNAcentral lists this ribosomal RNA (664 nucleotides) under Lysobacteraceae bacterium. RNAcentral describes it as "bacterial SSU rRNA". It matches the Rfam family "Bacterial small subunit ribosomal RNA", at positions 758 to 1421 of the family's 1533-position model. The record is from RNAcentral. Lineage: Bacteria; Pseudomonadati; Pseudomonadota; Gammaproteobacteria; Lysobacterales; Lysobacteraceae.